This 377-nucleotide ribosomal RNA is filed under the name uncultured bacterium. Its description in RNAcentral is "partial 16S ribosomal RNA". It matches the Rfam family "Bacterial small subunit ribosomal RNA", at positions 524 to 898 of the family's 1533-position model. The record is from RNAcentral.
UACGGGGGGGGCAAGCGUUGUUCGGAAUUACUGGGCGUAAAGGGUGCGCAGGCGGCGUCACGCGUGGAUAGUUGAAAUCUCCUGGCUUACCUGGGAGGGCGGUAUCCAGACGGUGGCGCUUGAGGGUCGGAGAGGGGCGUGGAAUUCCGGGUGGAGCGGUGAAAUGCGUAGAGAUCCGGAGGAACACCGACGGCGUAGGCAGCGCCCUGGACGACACCUGACGCUGAGGCACGAAAGCUGGGGGAGCGAACAGGAUUAGAUACCCUGGUAGUCCCAGCCCUAAACGAUGUCCACCAGGUACCGGGGGGAUCGACCCCCUCGGCGCCGAAGCUAACGUGAUGAGUGGACCGCCUGGGGAGUACGGCCGCAAGGUUGAA